CCUACGUGCGGCAGCAGUGAGGAAUAUUGGUCAAUGGGCGUGAGCCUGAACCAGCCAAGUAGCGUGAGGGAUGAAUGUUCUAUGGAUCGUAAACCUCUUUUAUAAGGGAAUAAAGUGUGGGACGUGUCCUAUUUUGUAUGUACCUUAUGAAUAAGGAUCGGCUAACUCCGUGCCAGCAGCCGCGGUAAUACGGAGGAUCCGAGCGUUAUCCGGAUUUAUUGGGUGUAAAGGGUGCGUAGGCGGCCUUUUAAGUCAGCGUUGAAAGUAUGUGGCUCAACCAUAGAAUUUCAGUUGAAACUGGGGGGCUUGAGUAUGUUUGAGGCAGGCGGAAUGCGUGGUGUAGCGGUGAAAUGCUUAGAUAUCACGCAGAACCCCGAUUGCGAAGGCAGCCUGCCAAGCCAUGACUGACGCUGAUGCACGAAAGCGUGGGUAUCAAACAGGAUUAGAUACCCUUGUAGUC
RNAcentral lists this ribosomal RNA (460 nucleotides) under uncultured bacterium. RNAcentral's name for it is "partial 16S ribosomal RNA". It matches the Rfam family "Bacterial small subunit ribosomal RNA", at positions 338 to 795 of the family's 1533-position model. The record is from RNAcentral.